UACGGGGGGGCAAGCGUUGUUCGGAAUUACUGGGCGUAAAGGGCUCGUAGGCGCCAACUAAGUCGGACGUGAAAUCCCUCGGCUUAACCGGGGAACUGCGUCCGAUACUGGAUGGCUUGAGUUUGGGAGAGGGAUGCGGAAUUCCAGGUGUAGCGGUGAAAUGGCGUAGAUAUCUGGAGGAACACCGGUGGCGAAGGCGGCAUCCUGGACCAAUACUGACGCUGAGGAGCGAAAGCCAGGGAGCAAAG
RNAcentral lists this ribosomal RNA (248 nucleotides) under uncultured bacterium. Its description in RNAcentral is "partial 16S ribosomal RNA". It matches the Rfam family "Bacterial small subunit ribosomal RNA", at positions 524 to 773 of the family's 1533-position model. The record is from RNAcentral.